This 345-nucleotide unclassified non-coding RNA is filed under the name soil metagenome. Its description in RNAcentral is "partial contains 5.8S ribosomal RNA, internal transcribed spacer 2, and large subunit ribosomal RNA". The stretch from base 1 to 121 matches the Rfam family "5.8S ribosomal RNA", at positions 35 to 154 of the family's 154-position model. The record is from RNAcentral.
GAUGAAGAACGCAGCGAAAUGCGAUAAAUAAUGCGAAUUGCAGAAUUUCCAUGAGUCAUCGAAUCUUUGAACGCACAUUGCGCCCACUGGUAUUCCGGUGGGCAUGCCUGUUCGAGCGUCAUUAUCCUCCCUCAAACCCCGGGUUUGGUGUUGGACCCAAGUUGUGUGAACAACUGGUCUCAAAGACAAUGACGGCGUCCGUGGGACCCUCGGUGCAACGAGCUUUUAGGAGCACGCAUCGAGUUGCAAGGACCUUCCGGGCCGGUCUCCUUUACCAUUUUACAAGGUUGACCUCGGAUCAGGUAGGAAUACCCGCUGAACUUAAGCAUAUCAAUAAGCGGAGGA